This is a long non-coding RNA of Zeugodacus cucurbitae (melon fly), 880 nucleotides long. RefSeq lists it as uncharacterized. Lineage: Eukaryota; Metazoa; Arthropoda; Insecta; Diptera; Tephritidae. The record is from RefSeq and is a predicted model, not a curated record. The transcript has 2 exons.
UGUAUUCUAUCGUAUUAAAGUUAUUUACAAUCAAUAUUUUUACGCAAUAAAAGUAUAUGUUAUAAAUAAAUUUAGAAAAGGACAGAAUAUCUUAAAUAAACUUUUUUAAAUUUGUACGAGAUAAAAAUUCAGAUAUCUUAGUAAUAUUUUGAAUAGAUGUCGAUUUUAAAAGAUCAAGAGCUUUAGUAUUAUGAAAUAUAAUGGUUCUAGUUAAGUUAAAAUAGGGAUAAACUUCUAAUAAGUGAGUUGUGGAAAAGGAAGAUGAGUUGCAGUAUGGGCAAGAUUGUAAUCUGUGACCAGUAAAUAAAUGAGAAUGUGUUAUUGCUGUAUGGCCUAAGCGAAGACGUACAAAAACCUUGAUGUCGUGACAGCGUCCUGAGGGUGGAUAAAUAGCUUUUUUCCCAUCUUCGUUGCAGAAGGCGUAAUGAUGUACCUCAUUUUUCCAAGCAUUAUAUUUUAAAAUUUUUUGCUGAUUUUUCGUCUGAUUAGACGAAGUAUAUCAUUUUUUUUUUCGAUAUAUUCAAACAUAAUCAAUGGCUGUUUUGUAGCGAAUUAGCAAUCUGAUCGGCACGUUCAUUACCGGUAAUGCCAGCGUGUCCUGGGACCCACACAAUUUUUAUAUUUAUGUUACCAAUAAGUAUGUCUCGAAUUUGCGAAAUGAGCCUUGAGCAAGAGUUACUGCAUUAUAUAUGGCUGCUGCCUCAGCAGUAUAUACUGAACAGUAAUUGGGUAACUGCACAACCUUUAACGUGUUGCCAAUGUCGUCAAUAAUAGCAAAAGACGUGUGGAAUUCGUUUUUAGAAGCGUCGGUAAAAAUAAGUUUCCAAUCUACAUAAUGUUGCACUAAGAGUUCUUUGAAUAAACUUUGGUAAACCCGCGA